This 95-nucleotide transfer RNA is filed under the name Streptomyces griseoluteus. RNAcentral describes it as "tRNA-Ser". Lineage: Bacteria; Bacillati; Actinomycetota; Actinomycetes; Kitasatosporales; Streptomycetaceae. The record is from RNAcentral.
GCCGCCGGUGGCACACGGCCGGUACGCCGCUGCCGCUGGAGGCGGGCGGCGAACUGCCGGGCGUGCGGCUGGCGUUCGAGACCUGGGGGCGGCUC